This 253-nucleotide ribosomal RNA is filed under the name uncultured bacterium. RNAcentral's name for it is "partial 16S ribosomal RNA". It matches the Rfam family "Bacterial small subunit ribosomal RNA", at positions 524 to 776 of the family's 1533-position model. The record is from RNAcentral.
UACGGAGGGGGCUAGCGUUGUUCGGAAUUACUGGGCGUAAAGCGCACGUAGGCGGCUUUGUAAGUUAGAGGUGAAAGCCCGGGGCUCAACUCCGGAAUUGCCUUUAAGACUGCAUCGCUAGAAUUGUGGAGAGGUAAGUGGAAUUCCGAGUGUAGAGGUGAAAUUCGUAGAUAUUCGGAAGAACACCAGUGGCGAAGGCGGCCCACUGGACGUGUAUUGACGCUGAGGUGCGAAAGCGUGGGGAGCAAACAGG